Molecule: long non-coding RNA, 749 nt
Organism: Triticum dicoccoides
Lineage: Eukaryota; Viridiplantae; Streptophyta; Magnoliopsida; Poales; Poaceae
Exons: 4
Source: RefSeq, a predicted model, not a curated record
CGGUCCUGGCAUGUGUGAUCUGACUGGGUUGCGUUGGUGUGUGGUUGCAGGACAAGGUGGUGAACCUGUUGUUCGAGAAGAGGCCGAAGCAGUUCGACAUCGGUGGUGCCCUGCCGCCCAAGAAGGACCUCCACCGGUUUGUCAAGUGGCCCAAGGUCAUGCGCAUCCAGCGCCAGCGCCGCAUCCUCAAGCAGCAAGGAGCCCAACAACCUCUACAAUGUCCACUCCUACAAGUUCUCGAGCUUGGCGAAUAGCAAAACUGUGGCGGUCCAGCCAUCAGCGGGAGAGGACAAGGCAGUUGUCCUGUCCACGACCAAGACCAAGAAGCAGAACACCCCUGCCAAGCUCCAGCACAAGACUCUGAUGUGCAAGGAGUUCUGCAAGAUGGCCAAGUAUGUCAAGAAUCAGGAAAUGGACUGAUUCCUUUGAAAUUCCCAUGUUGUAAAUAGUCCCUUACUCCACUCAGGUGAUGACUUUGACCACAGAAGUACAACCAGGACAACCGUGCUGUUGGUGGUAGCUCCCAAGGUCCAAGGACAACUAUAUACUUUGACAGCAAAGAGCCAAGCAAGGGUGUGAACCAUAGUUUCGGUUGAUAUUUGCCACCAUGUUUUGGAUUGCACGUACACUUCUUGGAUAUAAACUAUAAUUAGGCUUGUUCAAGCUAUGUUACCGCGGACGUGCAGUCUUGUAUGUUUUUGUGAAUGUUGAUCAUAUGAGUUCUGGAUUUGAUCAUUUAAUAAGAGAAU